UGCUGCUGGCGGCUGGAGCUUUGGAAUGCGUCCGUGGCCAUGGGCGGCCCUGGAGUCGGAAUCGCACCUCUGCUUCCAACCUGCUUUCCUGCUCCUGCGAUCUCACGGUAUGGUAUCGAUCUGCUUUGCUGACUGUUGUAUUUGUUCUGACUGAAAUUACUCAUGACCUGCUUCCGUGGCUUAACCGCAUUAGAAUGUGCUCUUCCAAUUGAAUCGAGUUCCAAGUGAAUCAGAUACUGCUCUUCCCUUGCAGUUAGGACUCCUGCGGCCAGAGUAGCUGACCCUGAUCAUUUGAAUCGUGAUGGCUCAUGGGUCACAGUUGAUUCAUUUGGCUGAAAUUAGAUUUUGACUUACCUGAUCCUACUUUUUGAAUGGCAAUAAACAGUGGCUGGCCAAAUGCCAGGCCUCAGCGCGCCCCCACCGACAGAUCAGAUUAGUAGCUAGGAUUCAUGGUUCGGCAGGCAGGCAGUCUCUUGCUGCUGUUUGCUCUGGUCUGUGCUUCAUGUUAGGGUGUACGAGGAACUGGCUACUGCUUGUUCGCUGAAAACCGAUUGGGUAGCUCCUAGUCUACAUUUGUGUACAUUUGUUCAGUGGAGUAAAUCUCAGUUGUUUACCUUGAAAAUCUCUUGGUGCUCCUAGUCUACAUUUGUGUGUUCUUCCUUCUGCCCCCCAAUUUCUUGUUCUGUGUGAUAAACUAAGCAGUUA
This 705-nucleotide long non-coding RNA is filed under the name Triticum aestivum (bread wheat). RNAcentral's name for it is "long non-coding RNA (TAES_LNC006025)". The record is from RNAcentral. Lineage: Eukaryota; Viridiplantae; Streptophyta; Magnoliopsida; Poales; Poaceae.